GUAGUCAUAUGCUUGUCUCAAAGAUUAAGCCAUGCAUGUCCAAGUAUAAACCCUUGUACGGUGAAACUGCGAACGGCUCAUUACACCAGCGACAAUUUACUUGACGAUGACUCGCCAUGGAUAACCGUGGUAAUUCUAGGGCUAAUACAUGCAGCAGCAUUUACUAGCAGCAGCCGGCGCGGCGGAGAAGCAAGUCGUCUCCGCCAGCAGCGGUGAGUCAUGGUAACUGGGCGGAUCGCGGCAAGCACGCGACGCGUCAAGCAAGUCUCUGCCCUAUCAACUGGGAUGGCAGGAUAGGGGCCUGCCAUGGUUUCGACGGGUAACGGGGAAUUGGGGUUCGAUUCCGGAGAGGGAGCCUGAGAGACGGCUACCACUUCCAAGGAAGGCAGCAGGCGCGCAAAUUACCCAAUCCCGACACGGGGAGGUAGUGACAGAAGAUAACAAUGCAGGGCCUGUGGCCGUGCAAUUGGAAUGAGCGAGGGGUAAAGAGGUUAGCGAGUAGCAAUUGGAGGGCAAGUCUGGUGCCAGCAGCC
This 533-nucleotide ribosomal RNA is filed under the name uncultured eukaryote. Its description in RNAcentral is "bacterial SSU rRNA". It matches the Rfam family "Eukaryotic small subunit ribosomal RNA", at positions 20 to 575 of the family's 1831-position model. The record is from RNAcentral.